GUGGGGAAUCUUGCACAAUGGGGGCAACCCUGAUGCAGCGACGCCGCGUGAGCGAUGAAGCCCUUCGGGGCGUAAAGCUUUUUCGACCGGAACGAUAAUGACGGUACCGGGAGAAGAAGCUGCGGCUAACUACGUGCCAGCAGCCGCGGUAAUACGUAGGCAGCAAGCGUUGUUCGGAGUUACUGGGCGUAAAGAGUGCGUAGGCGGUUUUCUAAGUUCGGUGUGAAAUCUCCCGGCUUAACUGGGAGGGUGCGCCGAAGACUGGGAAGCUGGAGUGUGGGAAAGGCAGGCGGAAUUCCAGGUGUAGCGGUGAAAUGCGUAGAUAUCAGGAGGAACACCGGCGGUGUAGACGGCUUGCUAGACCAUAACUGACGCUGAGGCACGAAAGCGUGGGUAGCAAACA
This 403-nucleotide ribosomal RNA is filed under the name uncultured bacterium. RNAcentral describes it as "bacterial SSU rRNA". It matches the Rfam family "Bacterial small subunit ribosomal RNA", at positions 354 to 774 of the family's 1533-position model. The record is from RNAcentral.